AUACGGAGGGUGCAAGCGUUAUUCGGAAUCACUGGGCGUAAAGGACGCGUAGGCGGGUUGGCAAGUCAGAUGUGAAAUCCUACAGCUUAACUGUAGAACUGCAUUUGAAACUGCUAACCUAGAGUAUGGGAGGGGGAGGUGGAAUUAGUGGUGUAGGGGUAAAAUCCGUAGAUAUCACUAGGAAUACCGAAAGCGAAGGCGAUCUCCUGGAACAUAACUGACGCUAAGGCGUGAAAGCGUGGGGAGCAAACAGGAGUAGAAACCCUAGUAGUCC
This 274-nucleotide ribosomal RNA is filed under the name uncultured bacterium. RNAcentral describes it as "partial 16S ribosomal RNA". It matches the Rfam family "Bacterial small subunit ribosomal RNA", at positions 523 to 796 of the family's 1533-position model. The record is from RNAcentral.